UAACCUUUUCUUCGAUAAUAUACACACAAAACAUUUUAUUGUACACAAAAUACGAAAAACAAUACACUAAUAAAUUACUGGCAAAAAAUGUUCACGUGAUACGUCACAGUGAUCAAAUUGUUCACGUGCGUUCCAAAGUUGCGUAAUCCUUAUAAUAACAAUGAAUAAUAACAAUGAAUCUUUAUAACACUCCCCAACGUUGAGUCACUGUACAAGUGAUCAACAAUAUACUCCCCAAUGUUGACAAUAAUCGAUAAAAUAUGAAUAUAUACAUUACUGUAAUUACGUUAAGUUUUCUUAAGUUUUUCAGAUAUGUUUCAGUUGUUCGGCUCUUUUAAGCUCUCCGAUGACCGCCGCCAUACGACGUGGACGAGUAUUUAACGAUACAGGCGGUUCGCUAAUUGUUGCUUCCGAUUUAUUCUUGACCUCGCUAAGCGGUUGCUUCACUUCGAUUGGAAUCAGGUGACUAUUCGAUCUUCGGAGAAGUUGCGCUUUGUCACUUUUGCCACCUAACAGUUCUAGGCGAGGAAUCGUUUGUCCCUUUAACGGCGCCACCUUCGAUUUUGAAGCUACGAGUCUUACUUCGAUGUUUCCACUUUCGUAUAAAGAUCUCAUAUAAAUAACUGCGGCAUAUGCGAUUUUGGAGGCGUCGCUAAACCCAUGUAGCUGUAUCUUCAUCGGCUUUUCUGUAGAUUUAAAACAACAUCGUUGAAUCCGUA
Molecule: non-coding RNA, 719 nt
Organism: Paramuricea clavata
Lineage: Eukaryota; Metazoa; Cnidaria; Anthozoa; Malacalcyonacea; Plexauridae
Source: the annotation of a GenBank genome assembly